AUUGAACGCUGGCGGCAGGCCUAACACAUGCAAGUCGAACGAGUGGCGGACGGGUGAGUAAUGUCUGGGAAAAUGCCUGAUGGAGGGGGAUAACUACUGGAAACGGUAGCUAAUACCGCAUACAAUCAGAUGUGCCCAGUGGGGUUUAGCUUGUUGGGGGGGUAACGGCUCACCAAGGCGACGAUCCCUAGCGGGUCUGAGAGGAUGACCAGACACAAUGGAACUGAGACACGGUCCAGACUCCUACGGGAGGCAGCAGUGGGGAAUAUUGCACAAUGGGCGCAAGCCUGAUGCAGCCAUGCCGCGUGUAUGAAGAAGGCCUUCGGGUUGUAAAGUACUUUCAGCGGGGAGGCGUUACCCGCAGAAGAAGCACCGGCUAACUCCGUGCCAGCCGCCGCGGUAAUAC
RNAcentral lists this ribosomal RNA (406 nucleotides) under uncultured bacterium. RNAcentral describes it as "partial 16S ribosomal RNA". It matches the Rfam family "Bacterial small subunit ribosomal RNA", at positions 30 to 526 of the family's 1533-position model. The record is from RNAcentral.